Molecule: ribosomal RNA, 494 nt
Filed under: uncultured bacterium
Lineage: Bacteria
Description: partial 16S ribosomal RNA
Rfam family: Bacterial small subunit ribosomal RNA
Source: RNAcentral
GACGAACGCUGGCGGCGUGCUUAACACAUGCAAGUCGAACGGUGAAGCGCCUUCCUUUUUGGUGGGUGUGGAUGAGUGGCGAACGGGUGAGUAACACGUGAGUAACCUGCCCCCUUCUUCUGGAUAACCGCAUGAAAGUGUGGCUAAUACGGGAUAUUCUGGGUCUGUCGCAUGAUGGGUCUGGGAAAGAUAUUGUUUCGGUGGGGGAUGGGCUCGCGGCCUAUCAGCUUGUUGGCGGGGUGAUGGCCUACCAAGGCGGUGACGGGUAGCCGGCCUGAGAGGGUGGACGGGCACACUGGGACUGAGACACGGCCCAGACUCCUACGGGAGGCAGCAGUGGGGAAUAUUGCACAAUGGGCGGAAGCCUGAUGCAGCGACGCCGCGGGAGGGAUGGAGGCCUUCGGGUUGUGAACCUCUUUCGCCAGUGAAGCAGGCCUGCCUCGUUUGUGGGUGGGUUGACGGUAGCUGGAGAAGAAGCGCCGGCUAACUACGUG